This 301-nucleotide ribosomal RNA is filed under the name uncultured bacterium. Its description in RNAcentral is "partial 16S ribosomal RNA". It matches the Rfam family "Bacterial small subunit ribosomal RNA", at positions 509 to 807 of the family's 1533-position model. The record is from RNAcentral.
CAGCAGCCGCGGGAAUACGAAGGGUGCAAGCGUUAAUCGGAAUUACUGGGCGUAAAGCGUGCGUAGGCGGUUCGUUAAGUCUGUUGUGAAAGCCCCGGGCUCAACCUGGGAAUGGCAAUGGAUACUGGCGAGCUAGAGUGUGUCAGAGGAUGGUGGAAUUCCCGGUGUAGCGGUGAAAUGCGUAGAGAUCGGGAGGAACAUCAGUGGCGAAGGCGGCCAUCUGGGACAACACUGACGCUGAGGCACGAAAGCGUGGGGAGCAAACAGGAUUAGAUACCCCGGUAGUCCCUGUCUCUUAUAC